CAAAACGUAGCUUAAUAAAGCCCCUCGCUUACACCGAGGAGUUAUCUGUUCAACCCGGAUCGUUUUGU
This 68-nucleotide transfer RNA is filed under the name Odorrana macrotympana. RNAcentral describes it as "tRNA-Val". It matches the Rfam family "tRNA". Rfam says of the family: Transfer RNA (tRNA) molecules are approximately 80 nucleotides in length. The record is from RNAcentral. Lineage: Eukaryota; Metazoa; Chordata; Amphibia; Anura; Ranidae.